GUCCACGAGUCCCCCAGGGAGGUCCAGAGCGCAUUUUCACUUGGGGUGACAUUGUCCCGCAGCAGUGCCACGGCCUCGGACGUUAGAAUGACUAACACCUGGGUCUGCCUUCCCAUCUAGACUGGAGGCUCCUCAAAAGCAGGCAAUUGUCUGGAUUAUAUCUACUCCCUUCUAAGCACCUCUACCUCCAUUAGAGCAACUGGCACCCUUCGUUCUACCUGUGGACCUUGUCUACCCCCUACUCAUCCAGGAUUGCAUCUGAUUUGUCCCGGUGGCCAGACCGUUCAGCUCAAGAGCUGGUCCAGAGGAAAAGUUGGCAGAUUCGAGUGGAAUUGAGUUCCUCCAUGGAUGCCCAUGUCUGAGAUAAGGUGAAGUUCGCUGUGCAGGACUAACGGUGGCAAUGCUGACCCCAGACUCACAUUGACUGGAUACUGGGAAACGUCCGCCAUAACCACAGUUGAAUAACGCUUCCUCUGCUCUGUGGGGGGUGUGGGAGGAGAAGGAGGAUGGACCCAGGAGCCCUGCUUCCAGUCCCUCCUCCCUCAGACCCAGGAGUCCAGACUCCCAGCCCCUCCUCCCUCAGACCCAGGAGUCCAGGCCCUCAGCCCCUCCUCCCUCAGAUCCAGGACUCCAGGUCCUCAGUUCCCUCACUCUUCAGAUCCUGUUUCUCUCUGCCUGGGGUUUCCUUGCCUGAAAACUCACCAUAAAUGGACUU
Long non-coding RNA from Hipposideros armiger (great roundleaf bat), 715 nucleotides. RefSeq lists it as uncharacterized. The record is from RefSeq and is a predicted model, not a curated record. The transcript has 3 exons. Lineage: Eukaryota; Metazoa; Chordata; Mammalia; Chiroptera; Hipposideridae.